UGGAACUUGCAUGAACAGGCUGUACACACACGAUUCCGCCUUUUUUUUGCAAGUUACCACA
RNAcentral lists this microRNA precursor (61 nucleotides) under Ciona intestinalis (vase tunicate). Its description in RNAcentral is "microRNA cin-mir-4001b precursor (cin-mir-4001b-1)". The record is from miRBase by way of RNAcentral. Lineage: Eukaryota; Metazoa; Chordata; Ascidiacea; Phlebobranchia; Cionidae.